RNAcentral lists this ribosomal RNA (301 nucleotides) under uncultured bacterium. RNAcentral's name for it is "partial 16S ribosomal RNA". It matches the Rfam family "Bacterial small subunit ribosomal RNA", at positions 509 to 809 of the family's 1533-position model. The record is from RNAcentral.
CAGUCGCCGCGGGAAUACGGAAGGAGCUAGCGUUGUUCGGAGUUACUGGGCGUAAAGCGCACGUAGGCGGCUUUGUAAGUUAGAGGUGAAAGCCUGGAGCUCAACUCCAGAAUUGCCUUUAAGACUGCAUCGCUUGAAUCCAGGAGAGGUGAGUGGAAUUCCGAGUGUAGAGGUGAAAUUCGUAGAUAUUCGGAAGAACACCAGUGGCGAAGGCGGCUCACUGGACUGGUAUUGACGCUGAGGUGCGAAAGCGUGGGGAGCAAACAGGAUUAGAUACCCCUGUAGUCCCUGUCUCUUAUAU